GCCGUAGCUCAGGGGUAGAGCAUGUGCUCUGCAUGCAGAAGGUCACAGGUUCAAUCUCCAGUGCAGGCAUAGGCA
Molecule: non-coding RNA, 75 nt
Organism: Podarcis lilfordi (Lilford's wall lizard)
Lineage: Eukaryota; Metazoa; Chordata; Lepidosauria; Squamata; Lacertidae
Source: the annotation of a GenBank genome assembly